RNAcentral lists this transfer RNA (75 nucleotides) under Singulisphaera sp. Its description in RNAcentral is "tRNA-Gln". It matches the Rfam family "tRNA". Rfam says of the family: Transfer RNA (tRNA) molecules are approximately 80 nucleotides in length. Their secondary structure includes four short double-helical elements and three loops (D, anti-codon, and T loops). RNAcentral also lists the same sequence under 1 other name. Lineage: Bacteria; Pseudomonadati; Planctomycetota; Planctomycetia; Isosphaerales; Isosphaeraceae. The record is from RNAcentral.
UCCGGGGCAGUUGCUGCUGGUAGUGACGCCUGGCUCUGACCCAGGAGGCCGCAGGUUCGAUCCCUGCCCCCGGAA